Molecule: small nuclear RNA, 102 nt
Organism: Lycium ferocissimum
Lineage: Eukaryota; Viridiplantae; Streptophyta; Magnoliopsida; Solanales; Solanaceae
Source: RefSeq, a predicted model, not a curated record
GUUCCCUCCGAAACAUUCGAUAAAAUUGGAACGACACAUAGAAAAUUAGCAUACCCCUGUGCAAUGAUGACACGCUCAAAUUGAGAAAUGAUUCAAAUUGAA